ACACGACUACAUUAGAUACCCCCUGUAGUCCUAGCCGUAAACGAUACUCGCUAGGUGUCGGCCACGGUGCGACCGUUGUCGGUGCCGUAGGGAAGCCGUGAAGCGAGUCACCUGGGAAGUACGGCCGCAAGGCUGAAACUUAAAGGAAUUGGCGGGGGAGCACCACAACGGGUGGAGCUUGCGGUUUAAUUGGAUUCAACGCCGGAAAUCUUACCGGGACCGACAGCAACAUGAAGGCCAGGCUGAAGACUUUGCCGGAUUAGCUG
This 266-nucleotide ribosomal RNA is filed under the name uncultured archaeon. RNAcentral describes it as "partial 16S ribosomal RNA". It matches the Rfam family "Archaeal small subunit ribosomal RNA", at positions 717 to 982 of the family's 1478-position model. The record is from RNAcentral.